This 691-nucleotide ribosomal RNA is filed under the name Rhodococcus sp. (in: high G+C Gram-positive bacteria). Its description in RNAcentral is "bacterial SSU rRNA". It matches the Rfam family "Bacterial small subunit ribosomal RNA", at positions 106 to 811 of the family's 1533-position model. The record is from RNAcentral. Lineage: Bacteria; Bacillati; Actinomycetota; Actinomycetes; Mycobacteriales; Nocardiaceae.
GUGAGUAACACGUGGGUGAUCUGCCCUGCACUUCGGGAUAAGCCUGGGAAACUGGGUCUAAUACCGGAUAUGACCUCCGACUGCAUGGUUGGGGGUGGAAAGGUUUACUGGUGCAGGAUGAGCCCGCGGCCUAUCAGCUUGUUGGUGGGGUAAUGGCCUACCAAGGCGACGACGGGUAGCCGACCUGAGAGGGUGACCGGCCACACUGGGACUGAGACACGGCCCAGACUCCUACGGGAGGCAGCAGUGGGGAAUAUUGCACAAUGGGCGAAAGCCUGAUGCAGCGACGCCGCGUGAGGGAUGACGGCCUUCGGGUUGUAAACCUCUUUCAGCAGGGACGAAGCGCAAGUGACGGUACCUGCAGAAGAAGCACCGGCUAACUACGUGCCAGCAGCCGCGGUAAUACGUAGGGUGCGAGCGUUGUCCGGAAUUACUGGGCGUAAAGAGUUCGUAGGCGGUUUGUCACGUCGUCUGUGAAAACCCACCGCUCAACGGUGGGCCGGCAGGCGAUACGGGCAGACUUGAGUACUGCAGGGGAGACUGGAAUUCCUGGUGUAGCGGUGAAAUGCGCAGAUAUCAGGAGGAACACCGGUGGCGAAGGCGGGUCUCUGGGCAGUAACUGACGCUGAGGAACGAAAGCGUGGGUAGCGAACAGGAUUAGAUACCCUGGUAGUCCACGCCGUAAACGGUG